AUAGAGCAUUUCACAACUAGAGCUUAUCUUACCCCAACUUGUAUUGGGAUGAGAGAGCUGGAAUGAGGGAGCUUGCCUAAGGAGGGCUUAGACGAGGGAGGAUACCACAUUCUCACUCUGCUGUCUUUCCUCUAUCAAGUGUCUUACUGGGAGGCUGUGGACCGAUGCCAGGUGACGUGAUAGACAGCUACUGGACUAAUUUGCAAAGCGAAUUUCUGAAGUCAGAUUUUUUGCUUGAUAUGGAUUCCAUCUUCAGAGAAGAUGUGGAAACUGAGACCCAGAGAAAUUCUCUUACCUGCCCAUGCUCACAUGAUGACAGUGACCCGAACCUGGGCCCUCUGGUUCCAAGCUUGGUGCUCUUUCCACCACCACAGGCAAAGCCAUCACAGCCUCUGUCAUGGAUGCUGGAUAAUUGGGAUUCGUUGCACAACCUACAUUCUCUGAAAGAUGAUUGACAUCCCUGCAGUUUGUACUGUGUGAAAGUGGCCACGUUGUCAAAACCUGGGCAAACACAAUCUUCUCAAAAGGUUAAUUGGAAUUCAGUUGAAUACAAAGAACGAAGAGUUUUUCUCACAUACUUUUAAUACACAGUUUUAAAGUUAUGAUUGGAAUAAAGUAUUUUAUCUAGAUUAGCACUGACCACUUAUGGUAGCCACCAGCUAUGUGUGGCUAUAGAGCACUUGGAAUGUGGCUAAUCCAAAAUAAGGUAUGCUGUAAGUAUAAAAUAUGCACCAGACAUUUUAAAAUUGUUUUAUUAAGAAAAUGAAUGCAAAAUAACUCAUUAAUUUUUAACUGAUUACCUAUUGAAGCAAUAAUAUUUUGGACGUAUCGGAUUAACUAAAAUAUGAUAGUAAAAUUAAUUUUACUUUUUUUACUUUUUAAUGUGACUACUAGAAAAUAUAAAUUACAUGUAUGGCUCACAUAUUUCUACUGGGCAGCUUUGUUUUCAAAAAAGAUUAGAGGGUGACUCUUCUCAAACAGUUUAAUUAAUGUUAUUUGAAGCUCAUUAGAGUAUGUAUUUAUAUCUACAGCAUGUGAAAUAAAGAUAAUAAUGUCAUUUCAUACCAGUUCAUUUUAUAAUAAGCCCUACUGAUGCCUCUAAAAUAUGAAAUAAUUUCAGAAUAAUUUUGAUUUAUGUCUAA
Molecule: long non-coding RNA, 1142 nt
Filed under: Homo sapiens (human)
Lineage: Eukaryota; Metazoa; Chordata; Mammalia; Primates; Hominidae
Description: HSALNT0316337
Source: RNAcentral